RNAcentral lists this ribosomal RNA (173 nucleotides) under uncultured Nocardioides sp. Its description in RNAcentral is "partial 16S ribosomal RNA". It matches the Rfam family "Bacterial small subunit ribosomal RNA", at positions 338 to 524 of the family's 1533-position model. The record is from RNAcentral. Lineage: Bacteria; Bacillati; Actinomycetota; Actinomycetes; Propionibacteriales; Nocardioidaceae.
CCUACGGGAGGCAGCAGUGGGGAAUAUUGGACAAUGGGCGAAAGCCUGAUCCAGCAACGCCGCGUGAGGGAUGACGGCCUUCGGGUUGUAAACCUCUUUCAGCAGGGACGAAGCGAAAGUGACGGUACCUGCAGAAGAAGGACCGGCCAACUACGUGCCAGCAGCCGCGUAAU